CAGUAGCCGCGGUAAUACGUAGGUGGCAAGCGUUGUCCGGAAUUAUUGGGCGUAAAGGGCUCGCAGGCGGUUUCCUAAGUCUGAUGUGAAAGCCCCCGGCUCAACCGGGGAGGGUCAUUGGAAACUGGGAAACUUGAGUGCAGAAGAGGAGAGUGGUAUUCCACGUGUAGCGGUGAAAUGCGUAGAGAUGUGGAGGAACACCAGUGGCGGAGGCGACUCUCUGGUCUGUAACUGACGCUGAGGAGCGAAAGCGUGGGGAGCGAACAGGAUUAGAUACCCGCGUAGUCCCUGUCUCUUAUAC
RNAcentral lists this ribosomal RNA (301 nucleotides) under uncultured bacterium. RNAcentral describes it as "partial 16S ribosomal RNA". It matches the Rfam family "Bacterial small subunit ribosomal RNA", at positions 509 to 807 of the family's 1533-position model. The record is from RNAcentral.